RNAcentral lists this ribosomal RNA (253 nucleotides) under uncultured bacterium. RNAcentral describes it as "partial 16S ribosomal RNA". It matches the Rfam family "Bacterial small subunit ribosomal RNA", at positions 524 to 776 of the family's 1533-position model. The record is from RNAcentral.
UACGUAGGGUGCGAGCGUUGUCCGGAAUUAUUGGGCGUAAAGAGCUUGUAGGCGGUUUGUCGCGUCUGCUGUGAAAAUCCGGGGCUCAACCCCGGACUUGCAGUGGGUACGGGCAGACUGGAGUGUGGUAGGGGAGACUGGAAUUCCUGGUGUAGCGGUGAAAUGCGCAGAUAUCAGGAGGAACACCGGUGGCGAAGGCGGGACUCUGGGCCGAUACUGACGCUGAGGAGCGAAAGCGUGGGGAGCAAACAGG